GCUUCAGUAGCUCAGUUGGUUAGAGCACCUGACUGUUAAUCAGGGGGUCGUUGGUUCAAGCCCAUCCUGAAGCGCCA
Molecule: transfer RNA, 77 nt
Filed under: Xylanibacter ruminicola
Lineage: Bacteria; Pseudomonadati; Bacteroidota; Bacteroidia; Bacteroidales; Prevotellaceae
Also listed under: 37 other names
Description: tRNA-Asn
Rfam family: tRNA
About the family: Transfer RNA (tRNA) molecules are approximately 80 nucleotides in length. Their secondary structure includes four short double-helical elements and three loops (D, anti-codon, and T loops).
Source: RNAcentral